This 208-nucleotide long non-coding RNA is filed under the name Elaeis guineensis (African oil palm). RNAcentral's name for it is "long non-coding RNA (EGUI_LNC029839)". The record is from RNAcentral. Lineage: Eukaryota; Viridiplantae; Streptophyta; Magnoliopsida; Arecales; Arecaceae.
GGCUCUUGGGAUAUUUAGAGCCGGGCACGUAUGUGUGCGGCAGACCUGGGUGACUGUCGAUCCGUCAAACUUGACUUCGAGAGGCAUGCAGAAAUGUCAGAGAACUUGUCGAUCGAAUGACGCAUUGACGUCAGAAAGCUCAGGGAUGCUGGGAUCUUGCCGAUCAGACACCACUUGGAUGCCAAGAAGCUUAAGGAUGCCAGGAUCU